ACCUCUUGUCGGGCUGCAGGGGAAUAAAUGUGGGCCCACAGACGUAAAUUUUAAUAAAAUUCACAUUUUGUGAGGAAGUUUGGAAUCUCCGAGGAGUCAUAUUUUGAUUAAAAGGUCAGUCCUGACUGUGUCCAGAGACCAGCCAUAUGGACGGGGCAUGGAGGAGCCACUGUUUCACAACCCACUGGUCAGGAGCAGCUUGUUGGACUCUGCAGCUGACUGUAGAGUGACCCGGAAGUUGGCAACCGGAGGACCGUCGCCAUGUUGGAAGGAAAACAAACAGUGAUACACGCUGUCAUCCAUAGAGAGUAGUGCACGCCUGGAUUCCUACAAGUAUUUUUUUUCUGGCUUUGUGGGAGCGCCGGGACAGUAUCGAAUGGGCAACACGG
Long non-coding RNA from Salarias fasciatus (jewelled blenny), 389 nucleotides. RefSeq lists it as uncharacterized. The record is from RefSeq and is a predicted model, not a curated record. The transcript is spliced from 4 exons. NCBI's taxonomy places the organism in Eukaryota, Metazoa, Chordata, Actinopteri, Blenniiformes, Blenniidae.